Molecule: ribosomal RNA, 407 nt
Filed under: uncultured bacterium
Lineage: Bacteria
Description: partial 16S ribosomal RNA
Rfam family: Bacterial small subunit ribosomal RNA
Source: RNAcentral
GACGAACGCUGGCGGCGUGCCUAAUACAUGCAAGUAGAACGCAGUUGCGCACGGGUGAGUAACGCGUAGGGAACUGCCUCAUAGCGGGGGGUAACUAUUGGAAACGAUAGGUAAUACCGCCUACUGUGGGAUGGACCGGCGUUGUAUUAGGUAGUUGGGGAGGUAAACGCUCACCAAGGCGCCGAUACAUAGCCGACCUGAGAGGGUUGUCGGGCCAACCUGGAAUGGGGACCGGCCCAAGAUCCCAACGGAGGCAGCAGGAGGGAAUCUUCGGCAAUGGACGGAAAUCUUAACGCAGAACGCCGGGGGAUGUAAGGAGGGUUUCGGAGCGGUAAGCUCUGUUGUUCGAGAAGCGGUAACUAACCAGAAAGGGACGGCUAACUACGUGCCAGCAGCCGCGGUAAUAC